Non-coding RNA from Cyanistes caeruleus (blue tit), 174 nucleotides. Lineage: Eukaryota; Metazoa; Chordata; Aves; Passeriformes; Paridae. The record is from RefSeq and is a predicted model, not a curated record.
AUGAGUACAGGGAGUACCUGACCAGGAUCAAGUUGCAAUCAGAUAAGAUCUCGGGGCAGAAAAAGGCCAAAUUAAAGGAUGGUCCCAAACUGCCAGGAACCACUGACACUUCCCACCAGGCAGAGAGGUGGCCGCAGUCUCGGAAAUCUUCUUUCACAUGUCUACAAAAGAGCA